Molecule: long non-coding RNA, 412 nt
Organism: Vicia villosa (hairy vetch)
Lineage: Eukaryota; Viridiplantae; Streptophyta; Magnoliopsida; Fabales; Fabaceae
Exons: 3
Source: RefSeq, a predicted model, not a curated record
AAGGCCAAUUACUUGCCAUUCGGUAUCGACUUUCCAACAGGACAAACGGGAAGAGCUACCAAUGGAAGAACCAAAGUUGACAUAAUUGGCGAACUACUUCGAUUUGAGAAAUUCAUCCCACCUUUUGCAAAUACUACUGGCUAUGAUAUACUCAAAGGUGUUAACUAUGCAUCUAGUUCAGCUGGAAUUCGUUACGAAACAGGAAAAAAAACAGCGAUUAAUAAUAUCGCAUUGGGAUUACAGUUACAAAAUCACAUAAUCACAGUGUCCAGAAUUGUUGCCAAGCUUGGCGGUUUGCGACAAGCCCAAAAUCAUUUGUCAAAGUGCUUGUAUUAUGUAUAUAUAGGCACCAACGAUUACGCACUAAAUUAUUUUCAACCCGAUCUCUAUCCAUCAAGUAGCAUCUAUAACC